Molecule: long non-coding RNA, 547 nt
Organism: Episyrphus balteatus (marmalade hoverfly)
Lineage: Eukaryota; Metazoa; Arthropoda; Insecta; Diptera; Syrphidae
Exons: 2
Source: RefSeq, a predicted model, not a curated record
CACAUAUUGUCUAAUAUGUAGUGACAGUAAAAGUUGCUGAUAAGUCAAACUAGAUUACUCGACAGCUCCACCAAUAACUGAUUAUGAAAACUUCUUACUAAGUCAUAUUAAACAACAAAGAUCAGCCAUAUUCGAUUAUACAAACAUUUUGGACAUAUAGUCUUCAGCAUCGGCAGCAUUAGUUACAAUAUAAUAGCAACGACAUGGCUACUUCGAAAAUUAUAUUCUUUGUGUUAAUUGCAAUUUCUUUAUUAGCUUUAAUUCAAGCCAAUGCUAUCCUGAACAACAAUGAUGAAGUAAUUCAGUUUCGUCACUCCAGAUCUUUGAUUAAAACUUUCAGAUGUGAGAAAGGUUAUAUUGCUGAUAUAUUUUGCUCAUCCUUUUGCGAAUCAAUAGAAGAUGGAAUGACCGGUGAAUGUAUAAAUGGAAGAUGUGAAUGCAGAUAAGGAGUUUCUAUAGCUUUGAUUGCAAAAUUUGACUUUUUUUUUUCAAAUUUAGCUACUUCAUAAAUUAAAAUAAUAAAAUUUAUCGUGUUUUUAUUUUUAAA